CCUACGGGUGGCAGCAGUGAGGAAUAUUGGUCAAUGGACGCAAGUCUGAACCAGCCAUGCAGCGUGCAGGAUGACUGCCCUAUGAGUUGUAAACUGCUUUUGUACAGGGGUAAACGCAGAUACGCGUAUCUGUCUGAAAGUAUCGUACGAAUAAGGAUCGGCUAACUCCGUGCCAGCAGCCGCGGUAAUACGGAGGAUUCAAGCGUUAUCCGGAUUUAUUGGGUUUAAAGGGUGCGUAGGCGGUUGGAUAAGUUAGUGGUGAAAUCCCGAGGCUCAACUUCGGAAUUGCCUUUGAUACUGGUCGGCUAGAGAGUAGUUGCGGUAGGCGGAAU
RNAcentral lists this ribosomal RNA (332 nucleotides) under uncultured bacterium. RNAcentral describes it as "partial 16S ribosomal RNA". It matches the Rfam family "Bacterial small subunit ribosomal RNA", at positions 338 to 667 of the family's 1533-position model. The record is from RNAcentral.